UCGCUUUCUCUUUGUCCGCCUCGAGGUCCUCUCCCCUCCUGAUUUCGGCCAACUCCCGAACUUUGAGCAGCAGUUUCCUGCGGCAGCACCACUCCAGCUGACCCUCCUCCAGACCCCAGUACAGCAGCUCCUCCUGGAAGGACAGGGCGCACAUCUCCCUCAGGAGGCGCAGCUUCCCGGCCGAGAUGAAAGUCAGGAUCAUGCGAAAGGCGCAAGGGUUCCGGUCAAAGAAGAACUCGUGGGUGGACUCGUCAUAGUCGUCGCAGAUCUGCACGAUCUCCUCGCGGCUGCGGCAAAACCUCAGCCUGCCCAGGCGUGUGAGUGGGAAAGCGUCCAGGGUACUCCAAGGCAGCAGGUACCUGCUGCCCCCCACAUUGACGAUGAGGUGCCUCUGCCGGUGCCGGGGAGUGUCGCUCAGCCCUCCCCGCUGCUGGAUCCGCCUGCAUCGCCGGUAAAAGACUCCCUUGACAGGAGGCACCUCCGAGUGACUUACUGGGACGAUAUGGUUCAGGGAACUGCAAGACGUGUCGCUCAGAUUACUGUAAUCGUUGUCGCUGCUCCGGGAAAUGAUGGGCAUGGUGAAUCAGUCCGCUGCAGACGGUGGCAAAGUCAUCUGUGCACAGACAGGAGGGGAGUUACAUGGAGACACUGCAGAUUCAAAAUCAAUAAGCAAGGCCAAAAGGGAAAGGGCACUUGGUAAUGUGAAGCAUGUUUAGGGGCUCAGAGGGAACAGGGUGUCCUAUAGCGCACAACUCUCUGUGAAAGGGCAUUAGCUCUGCAAUGUGAGCUCAGUUUCUCUCACCUUCAGGUGCUGAGCUGCUGAAUGUUCCCAACGUGUUUUCUUCCAGAAUUCUCAGCCCCACCUACCCAGGUCCUGUUCGUAUAAGGAGUGCUGCUGCUGGUUCAACUUCUAUUUUUUUUUAAGAAAAAGAAAGUCCCGUUCUCAUUCUUGAAAGAGAUGUGCCGCCACGUCCCCCUUUUGACACUUGGCUUCGUUGCUUUCCUUCGCCAAACUCCUUAAGAAGCGAGUAACUCAUCGAAAUAUCUGCCCCAAGAACAUUCGUCAGACUCACCCCUACACGACCCCGGCAGCUUCACAUGAUCGCUAUGCACCCUGCCAUUGCAAACUGAAAUGGGAUUCAGGAAGUUUUGUUUUGGGGGGGACUGUGUCUCUUUUUGCGCGGUUAAAACGACAGACCUGAUUCCCCGUAUUUAAAAGCGCGCUGUUUUAGCUCGCUGUGUCUACGAUCUCGAAGCCCUGAGAAUGAACUGUAAGCAAGAGAAGACCAAGCGACCUUCUGACCCCCUCCCCCGACAAACACAGUACUGUGCUCUCACUGCUCAUUAUGGGGUGUCUGGGGAAGUGGGACCAGAAACAGGGCUGGAUAGUGGGAUUUACAGGCGCAAACACCAACAUAACGCCAGCACAACAGUAAAAAGGAAACUGAAGCCCACAUUUUACCCACGGGAUAAAAAAAAAGCGCAGCUCUUGAAGCGCUAAACUUACUUUGAAAGUAAUGAGCUAAGCGUGAAAUCCACCGGGUCGUUCCUGGGAUUCGAGAAAGCAGCUUGACAUCCCAUAAUGUCAAGUUAACGGAGAGAAAUCCCUUCUCUGAAACAUUUUUUUUUCAAAUUUGUGUCCCUUCACCGAGAUAAACUAAAAGCCAAAGCAUUCCUAAAGCGAAAUUCCAAGCGCCUGUGGUCCGGGAACCCUCUCACAUCCUGAGUGGCGGACCUCGGUCUCCCAAGGAGACGCGGGGUUCCUGCCGCUCUCCUGCCGUGGGUCGGGCACUGCACUGAGCUCCAGCCGCAACGUCCUCCCACAGCCAGGAACCCACACCGUCUCGGAUACAGUUAAAGUGGAAACAGAAACUUUCUGGAGUCGUCACUGUCCUGGAGCUUUUUGCCGAGGUGUGGAAGAGCAGAAGUGAGCUGAGGUGGGUAGUCGGUACAGAGAAUUCCCAACGUGACAGCAGCUCUCAAACACAGGACGUCUUCUAUUUCAACUCACCACAGGCUUUUUAUUAUUUUCUGUGCCUAUCGACUAUGGGCAGAAGAGAUCAGCUACAUCGCAAAGGCAGCCUCUAGAUCACAAUGCUAUAAGGCAAAGCACCCGUUCAGACCAAGUUCAAGCUCAUAACCUGAAAAGAACAACUCAAGAGUACCUACUUCAUCUCAACAAGACUGCAUUUGUUUGGAGGUCAGCCUGACAGAGGGAAUCUGCACUGUCAUGAACAAUAGUAACCAAGACUCCAAGUGCUGUUUUAAUCACCGUUAUAAUUUGAUGACUGGACAGUGUUCCUUAUCUGCCCAAGUUCAACACACAGACAUAUUGAACAUUUUCUUGCAGUCCUGGGUUCGUGCCCUUCCAUCCCCAAGCUAUCCCAAACACAGCACACAUUUUGUGCAAAUACUUAAAAUACAGAAUAUCUCCCCAUGCCCACCCAAUUACAGAACUUUAAGUAAAACAAAACCUGAACAGAGUAUCAGUUGGGGAAAGUUCACUAAAUUUCCAAAGUACUUUUAACCUUCCAUUUCAAGAUUUAUCCUGGCAAGGGAAGUCCCAGAGAAAUUUGCAGUCUUUAUUGUGAGAAGUUGGAGCUGGACCUGACGCUGGUGUCCUGGUGAUCAUGACUGAGACCAUCUGUGGACUGGCGAUCAUCUGCACGGCAAACGGGACCUUGCCCCAUUCAUGUUGGAGUUCUGUGCCUCAUGGGAGGAGGUAGUAGCAUUCUAUGUGGAGGCAGAUUUCGUCGAGCCAAAGAUCUGGACCAAGAAUUACAUCACCCUUCUCUCACCCUUGUCAUUGAUUAUCCACCAGGCUACACAUUUGACCUGUCCUUAUCCAUGUGCCAUCUAAACACCAUCUUUAGGUCACCACCGCUCUGCCCUCAUUGCCUACUGGGAGUCCACAUCAUAUUAUUGGGGGGAGGUGAUGGUCUAGUGCCUUAUUGAUGGACUGUUAAUCCAGAGACCCUGAUAACAUUCUGGGGGCCUGAGUUUGAAUCCUGCCAGGGCAGAUAGUGGAAUUUGAAUUCAAUAAAUAUCUGGAAUUAAGAAUCUAAUGAUAA
Long non-coding RNA from Stegostoma tigrinum, 3071 nucleotides. RefSeq lists it as uncharacterized. The record is from RefSeq and is a predicted model, not a curated record. The transcript is spliced from 3 exons. Lineage: Eukaryota; Metazoa; Chordata; Chondrichthyes; Orectolobiformes; Stegostomatidae.